Pimephales promelas (fathead minnow) is the source of this 295-nucleotide non-coding RNA. The record is from RefSeq and is a predicted model, not a curated record. Lineage: Eukaryota; Metazoa; Chordata; Actinopteri; Cypriniformes; Leuciscidae.
CUUCAGCCUGCAGGUGGAGAAUGUGUCCGUCUGCCGUCUCCUCCACCUUCACCUCCAUGAUGCCGUUCUGCAGGAGACAGUUAUGCUAUCCUGAACACUGUUUCCUGCUCUGAGACGUCUCUUCAGGGCCAGAUCUUUGUGUCAGUGGGUUGAAUUACCACAGUCAGUUUCCAGUGACCAGGAAAGGGAGUUUUGCAUUGUGAACGUGAGAAAGGCCCAUGUGUUCAUGAUGGAUGACUAAACUGUGAUUGGUUAUAAAAUGGGUUAAAAAUACUUCAGACGAUGUUCAGAGCAA